GACGAACGCUGGCGGCGUGCUUAACACAUGUAAGUCGAACGGAAAGGCCCUGCUUUUGUGGGGUGCUCGAGUGGCGAACGGGUGAGUAACACGUGAGUAACCUGCCCUUGACUUUGGGAUAACUUCAGGAAACUGGGGCUAAUACCGGAUAGGAGCUCCUGCUGCAUGGUGGGGGUUGGAAAGUUUCGGCGGUUGGGGAUGGACUCGCGGCUUAUCAGCUUGUUGGUGGGGUAGUGGCUUACCAAGGCUUUGACGGGUAGCCGGCCUGAGAGGGUGACCGGCCACAUUGGGACUGAGAUACGGCCCAGACUCCUACGGGAGGCAGCAGUGGGGAAUAUUGCACAAUGGGCGGAAGCCUGAUGCAGCAACGCCGCGUGCGGGAUGACGGCCUUCGGGUUGUAAACCGCUUUCGCCUGUGACGAAGCGUGAGUGACGGUAAUGGGUAAAGAAGCACCGGCGAACUACGU
RNAcentral lists this ribosomal RNA (467 nucleotides) under uncultured bacterium. RNAcentral describes it as "partial 16S ribosomal RNA". It matches the Rfam family "Bacterial small subunit ribosomal RNA", at positions 28 to 506 of the family's 1533-position model. The record is from RNAcentral.